This 246-nucleotide unclassified non-coding RNA is filed under the name plant metagenome. Its description in RNAcentral is "partial contains small subunit ribosomal RNA, internal transcribed spacer 1, and 5.8S ribosomal RNA". The stretch from base 1 to 54 matches the Rfam family "Eukaryotic small subunit ribosomal RNA", at positions 1778 to 1831 of the family's 1831-position model. The record is from RNAcentral.
GGUAGUAAAAGUCGUAACAAGGUCUCCGUUGGUGAACCAGCGGAGGGAUCAUUACAGGACUCGCAAGACUCCUUCACCCUGUGAACCCCACUACAAGCACGUUGCUUCGGCGGGUGUCCCGGCGGGGGUUUUCCCUCGCCGGGGCGCACAGCCCGCCGGCAGCCUACUAUACUCUGUCUCUUUGCGUUGGCAUCUCGAGUAAAAACAAACAAGUUAAAACUUUCAACAACGGAUCUCUUGGUUCUG